GAGGAGAGUAUCCUAAGGCCAGCGAGAGAACUGUUGUUAAGGAACUCGGCAAAAUGACCCCGUAACUUAGGGAUAAGGGGUGCCACCAUCAGGUGGCCGCAGAGAAUAGGCCCAAGCGACUGUUUACCAAAAACAUAGGUUUCUGCUAAGUCGCAAGACGAUGUAUAGGAGCUGACGCCUGCCCGGUGCUGGCAGGUUAAGGGGAUCUGUUAGAGCAAUCGAAGCAGUGAACUUAAGCCCCAGUAAACGGCGGCCGUAACUAUAACGGUCCUAAGGUAGCGAAAUUCCUUGUCGGGUAAGUUCCGACCCGCACGAAAGGCGUAACGAUUUGGGCACUGUCUCAACAACAGACUCGGUGAAAUUGUAAUUCCGGUGACGAUGCCGGAUACCUGCGACAGGACGGAAAGACC
RNAcentral lists this ribosomal RNA (410 nucleotides) under Clostridioides difficile. Its description in RNAcentral is "bacterial LSU rRNA". It matches the Rfam family "Bacterial large subunit ribosomal RNA", at positions 1669 to 2090 of the family's 2925-position model. Lineage: Bacteria; Bacillati; Bacillota; Clostridia; Peptostreptococcales; Peptostreptococcaceae. The record is from RNAcentral.